AUCUCAUUUUCUGGGAUUUUACCGGUGCCAGGUUAGUCGCUGCACAUAGUGUUACACAGUCAUCAUUUUGGUUGAGCAUGGUGUCUACCUUCUCCCAAAGAUGUGGAGUGAAGCAGUUCCACUGUGUCUGCCAUCUCUUGAGUGGGAAUGUGUCAACACACGCGAGAGAAUCAGCUUCAGCCCGCAUCUUCUUCUCUGAAGCUAUCUUUACAUUUGGUCCCAACAUGCUACAUAAGAGGGAAAAUUGCUUGAGCUUGUGAUACGGUAUCGUCAAUACCGCCAGGCUCUCUGCAACAGAAAACUGCAACAGAAAACUUGAUCUGGAAGCACCCUGUGGUCUUCUUGAGAUCCUCCACCAACUUCUCCUGGUCUUUAUUCCUUGUUGCUUUCACCUCGUGGCUCAUCUGUAGCACCUCCUCUCCACCGCUCACCAGUCUUCGAACCUCCAGCAGCUCACCGCUGCGACGUCUCAAGGUGGUUUGGCUGGCACUCGCACUAGAUACUCGGGAAACUGGGAGCUGUGCAUACUGCGCUUGAUUAGGCUAGAUUGCCAUUUCUCGUCCAUUGGGGACAGUGACACGCAUUCAGGCGUGUUCAGGAGAUCAGAUGGGUUGAGUGGAGCAGAUCUGAAGUACGAGAUGCUGUCAAUGUGCUCUUUGUGGUGUCUAAGGAAUCCCUGCUUUGAACACUUACUGCACAGUGGCGUAGGCAGGGGGUGGCAAAGGGGGCAAAUGCCCCCCCUUUUUCUGGAUCUCUACUACUCAGCUCAGGGUGAUCUCAGAAGGAGGGUGAUGUUUUCAAGAUCGCUGAGGUGGUCUAUUUGGAGGUGGCAGAAAGGACACGAUGGGGAUUGGACCACCUGCACAAGCAACCAGCACAGGCAAGCCUACCACACAGCUUUACUUUAACUCAAUCGGUCUGUCUAGUAUGUACAAGCACAGGACAAUCGAAAAAACUCUGUGAGGCUGACAGAUGGUGGGAGGAGCUAUCGAUUUAAUAUGUUUGAUUGCUGACUGGAAGGAGCCUUUUGCUGGUCGCCUCCCACCAACACUGUGAGUCCUAACGCUUAAACAAACUGAGCAAUUAACACUGUGUGCAGACCAGGUCGCAAUCGUUUUUUGUGGGUUGUAAUCUUUUCCGUUGCUUAACAGUAUGAUAAAUAAUGUUAUUGCAUGGGUGACAAUAUGAUUGGGGAUGAAUUGCGUCCACAUCUUCGUCCACAUCUUCGUUCACUUCUAUCCCAAAACCAGAAGAUCAACCUUUCUGUCUGAACAGGAAUACUUAUGGCUCCUGAAGUAACACCCACACACCCCCGACAGUGCUUGGAGAGUGCUACAAGGUGCUCAUCAUCCAUUCCUGAAUGUAUUAUUUGUUGUUAGAAUUAUUUCUUUAACCAUACUAUGUGAGUAUAUCAUUAUUGUAUUGAAGUCGUAAUUAUUUUUUGUAAAUUUUCAAUCCUAA
Long non-coding RNA from Halichondria panicea, 1461 nucleotides. RefSeq lists it as uncharacterized. NCBI's taxonomy places the organism in Eukaryota, Metazoa, Porifera, Demospongiae, Suberitida, Halichondriidae. The transcript has 4 exons. The record is from RefSeq and is a predicted model, not a curated record.